UGUCAAUUAGCCGAAUGGUACGGCGACGAGCUUCAACCUCGAAGGUGCGGGUUCAAGUCCCGCAUUGAAUACCA
Molecule: transfer RNA, 74 nt
Filed under: Polyangiaceae bacterium
Lineage: Bacteria; Pseudomonadati; Myxococcota; Polyangiales; Polyangiaceae
Description: tRNA-Sec
Rfam family: tRNA
About the family: Transfer RNA (tRNA) molecules are approximately 80 nucleotides in length. Their secondary structure includes four short double-helical elements and three loops (D, anti-codon, and T loops). Further hydrogen bonds mediate the characteristic L-shaped molecular structure. tRNAs have two regions of fundamental functional importance: the anti-codon, which is responsible for specific mRNA codon recognition, and the 3' end, to which the tRNAs corresponding amino acid is attached (by aminoacyl-tRNA synthetases). tRNAs cope with the degeneracy of the genetic code in two manners: having more than one tRNA (with a specific anti-codon) for a particular amino acid; and 'wobble' base-pairing, i.e. permitting non-standard base-pairing at the 3rd anti-codon position.
Source: RNAcentral